Molecule: ribosomal RNA, 466 nt
Filed under: uncultured bacterium
Lineage: Bacteria
Description: bacterial SSU rRNA
Rfam family: Bacterial small subunit ribosomal RNA
Source: RNAcentral
GUGCCAGACUCCUACGGGAGGCAGCAGUGAGGAAUAUUGGUCAAUGGCCGAGAGGCUGAACCAGCCAAGUCGCGUGAGGGAGGACGGCCCUACGGGUUGUAAACCUCUUUUGUCAGGGAGCAAGGGACAGGUCGUGACCUGUUGUGAGAGUACCUGAAGAAAAAGCAUCGGCUAACUCCGUGCCAGCAGCCGCGGUAAUACGGAGGAUGCGAGCGUUAUCCGGAUUUAUUGGGUUUAAAGGGUGCGUAGGCGGGCUUUUAAGUCAGCGGUAAAAAUGCGGGGCUCAACCCCGUCCGGCCGUUGAAACUGGGGGCCUUGAGUGGGCGAGAAGAAGGCGGAAUGCGUGGUGUAGCGGUGAAAUGCAUAGAUAUCACGCAGAACCCCGAUUGCGAAGGCAGCCUUCCGGCGCCCUACUGACGCUGAGGCACGAAAGUGCGGGGAUCGAACAGGAUUAGAUACCCGAGUA